Molecule: unclassified non-coding RNA, 685 nt
Filed under: Hevea brasiliensis (rubber tree)
Lineage: Eukaryota; Viridiplantae; Streptophyta; Magnoliopsida; Malpighiales; Euphorbiaceae
Source: RNAcentral
GAAAAAUGGAUUUUUAUUGAAGGAUCCUAAAUAAAACGAGACAAUAAUAUACACAACCCAUUGAAGAUCAGUAUGAAGGGACCACUCAACAACCUGUUAUCUUGUACCUGAACAACUACAAAAACUAGAGUAAAGAAUGUCUCAACGGGCAGUGUGAGUAGAGUUAUGUUAACAGUGAAAGGAUGCUGCUCAUGAUCUUCUUCAGCUCAUACAUGUAUGUUCUCACUACAUAAUCCAGUACAACUUAAAUAGGCGCCGAGGCAUGAAGCUUCUCUUGAAGUUUCUGUGCUACAGCAUCAAUAAAUUCUUCAGUGUUCAAGUAGAAUUCUCUUGACACCUUGGGUCCGUGAGCUAAUAUAGCUAAGUCCUUAGUCAUCUUCCCGGACUCUAUUGUCCCAAUGCAAGAAGCUUCAAGGGUGUGAACAAAUUCCAACAACUUUUGAUUCCCAUCAAGCUGAGCCCUAUGUCCAAGUCCCCUUGUCCAUGCAAAAAUGGAAGCAACACUGUUUGUACUAGUUUCUUGACCCUUUUGAUGCAGCCGAAAAUGUCUUGUUACAGUGCCGUGAGCUGCUUCAGCUUCUAAUGUCUUGCCAUCAGAAGAUAACAAUACAGAAGUCAUGAGGCCCAGAGAACCAAAUCCUUGAGCGAGCAGAUCACUCUGGACAUCUCCAUCAUAGUUCUUGCA